GGCCUUGCUCCACACGGCCGCGGAGCACUCUGGGAACCGAGCGGCAGGGAAGACGACGGGGGGAGAGGGUCGCCCCCUCCCGCCGGUGGCUUGAUGGACGGACGUGUCAUCUUAGCUCAUGGCCUACACGCCCAGCAUUUUCUUCAUGGCUUCAUACACCACACAGCUGAUGCCACCCGCUGGCAACACCUUCAGUAACCUGGGAAUAAUGCCUCGAUAAAGCCCCUGCCAGCCCUGUUCAGCCAGGAUCUGCCAAAAGACUCCACUCAUGGUGGACUUGGAGCCCUCCACGAUGUCUCUGGAGGCAGAGACAAGCUGAGAACUCGUCUGUUUGGGAAAGCCUAGGAGGUCAUUUGGGGGGUGUCUUGGAGGUUAGUGUGAAUGUCUGGGUCGACUGUUGUGGGAAUUUUGGAGUUAUGUGGGAGAUAGAUGCUUAGCUUUAGUGAUUCUUUUGCUUGUUUUUGUUUUUUGAGAUAGGGUCUGCUUUAUAGUUCUAACUGGCCUUGAUCUCACAGUGUAGCACACAGGGUGGCUUUGAAUUUGUGAUCUUCCUGCCUCAGCUUCCCGAGUGCUGGGAUUAUAGGCGUGCACCACCACGCCAAGUUUAAUGACUUUUGUUGUGUGUGUGAUUUUUUAUAAAGGAUUAAUUUGAGGCCGGGAAUUUAGCUUAGUGGUUCAGCGAACACAAGCGCAAGGUCCUGAGUUCCAUGCCUGGUACCAAAAAAAUAAAUAAAUAAUUAAAUUUCUAAUUUGAGACUUAGGAUCAGAUUGAAGGGUGAAUAUAAUAAAUCUUGGUGGAGCUUAGCAUGGUGCUGCAUACCUAUAAUCCCAAUACUCCCUGAAGCUAAGGCAGGCGGAAUCACAAGUUCAAGUCCAGUCUGGGCAAUUUAGCAAGACCCUGUGCCCCCCCC
Molecule: non-coding RNA, 911 nt
Organism: Heterocephalus glaber (naked mole-rat)
Lineage: Eukaryota; Metazoa; Chordata; Mammalia; Rodentia; Bathyergidae
Source: RefSeq, a predicted model, not a curated record